CCAGUUCGAAGGCCACGAAUGCUCAUCUCGUACAGGUUGCUUCGUGCAUCCACAUUUCUGAGUGGGCUAAGGUCUGAGUAUUUCAAUCCCCCUCGAUUGGCUCUAGCGGAGUCCUGCUGUAAUCAGCUGCGCGAUGUACCAGAAAAGCAGCUUCAUUUCAUAUCCCAAAGAUCCUGUUUCGGUGGAGGAGGACGAGAAUCAAAGCUUUGAAAGCGUCGCGGGGAUUAGGCAAACUUGCAUCCAUCAAUUAGCAGUCAGUUGUCGCUAUCGCGCAUGCGUCUAUCAAGAAGACGCUGAAGGGACAGUCACUAUCCAUCCCGAUGUGACCGUGACCCCCCAGGCUGCUUGGUCCCUUGCUGUGGUAGGCCAAUGCUUACACAUCUAGUAGUCUAGAUGUUGGAUCCACUUCUGUUGCACAUUUGGACUGCAGUCUUCGAGGUAUGAUGCAUGGCACUUGUGUCGUGCUUACCUCUUCGGGCGAGCGUGCGUUCGCGCUCGCCGGCUUCCGGCGUAACCGUUGAGCUUCAUGACCUAUCACUUAUGGCAGGAGAUUAGCCGUCUCCUUGCGUAUGAGGCAUGCGACUGAUUGUAUGCGAUGGUACUAGUUUGUCCUUGAGUUCACUUCGUGGCUUGCGUGUCCUUCGUGGAUCGUGAAACUCGAUUCAGACUACUCUUGGACUGG
This 682-nucleotide RNase P RNA is filed under the name Rhizopogon vesiculosus. RNAcentral's name for it is "Nuclear RNase P". It matches the Rfam family "Nuclear RNase P". Rfam says of the family: Ribonuclease P (RNase P) is a ubiquitous endoribonuclease, found in archaea, bacteria and eukarya as well as chloroplasts and mitochondria. Its best characterised activity is the generation of mature 5'-ends of tRNAs by cleaving the 5'-leader elements of precursor-tRNAs. Cellular RNase Ps are ribonucleoproteins. Lineage: Eukaryota; Fungi; Basidiomycota; Agaricomycetes; Boletales; Rhizopogonaceae. The record is from Rfam by way of RNAcentral.